RNAcentral lists this unclassified non-coding RNA (174 nucleotides) under uncultured Ascomycota. Its description in RNAcentral is "sequence contains ITS1". Lineage: Eukaryota; Fungi; Ascomycota. The record is from RNAcentral.
CAGAGUUGCAAGACUCCCAAAACCAUUGCGAACGCUACCCCUAUCGUUGCUUCGGCGGGCGCAUCCCCCGAGCCCCCCCAGCGGGCGCGGGUGGGAGGCACCGCCGGCGGCACCCCCCCAAACUCUGAUUUUUACCACUGGGCCUCUCUGAGUAAAGCUGUAUCAAAUCAGUCA